Molecule: ribosomal RNA, 406 nt
Filed under: uncultured bacterium
Lineage: Bacteria
Description: partial 16S ribosomal RNA
Rfam family: Bacterial small subunit ribosomal RNA
Source: RNAcentral
AUUGAACGCUGGCGGCAUGCCUAACACCUGCAAGUCGACCGAGUGUCGGACGGGUUAUUAAUGUCUGGGAAACUUCCUGAUGGAGGGGGAUAACUACUGGAAACGUUAGCUAAUACCGCAUACCAUCAGAUGUUCCCAGAUGGGAUUAGCUAGUUGUGGGGGUAACGGCUCACAAAGGCGACGAUCCCUAUCUGGUCUGAGAGGAUUACCAGCCAAACUGGAACUGAGACACGGUCCAGAAUCCGACGGGAGGCAGCAGUGGGGAAUAGUGCACAAUGGGCGCAAGCCUGAGGCAGCAAUGCCGAGUGGAUGAAGAAGGCCUGCGGGUUGUAAAGUACUUUCAGCGGGGAGGCGUUACCCGCAGAAGAAGCACCGGCUAACUCCGUGCCAGCAGCCGCGGUAAUUC